CCUACGGGUGGCAGCAGUGGGGAAUAUUGCGCAAUGGGCGAAAGCCUGACGCAGCGACGCCGCGUGAGGGAUGAAGGUCUUCGGAUCGUAAACCUCUGUCAGCAGGGAAGAACGGUCACUGUGCUAAUCAGCAGUGAAUUGACGGUACCUGCAAAGUAAGCACCGGCUAACUCCGUGCCAGCAGCCGCGGUAAUACGGAGGGUGCGAGCGUUAAUCGGAAUUACUGGGCGUAAAGCGCUCGUAGGCGGUAUGGCAAGUCAAGGGUGAAAUCCCCGGGCUAAACGUGGGAACUGCCUUUGAAACUGGCAAACUGGAGUGUGUGAGAGGAUAGGGGAAUUCCAGGUGUAGGAGUGAAAUCCGUAGAUAUCUGGAGGAACAUCAGUGGCGAAGGCGACUAUCUGGAACAUAACUGACGCUGAGGAGCGAAAGCGUGGGUAGCAAACAGGAUUAGAUACCCCAUAGUC
RNAcentral lists this ribosomal RNA (464 nucleotides) under uncultured bacterium. Its description in RNAcentral is "partial 16S ribosomal RNA". It matches the Rfam family "Bacterial small subunit ribosomal RNA", at positions 338 to 795 of the family's 1533-position model. The record is from RNAcentral.